Molecule: long non-coding RNA, 12505 nt
Filed under: Marmota monax (woodchuck)
Lineage: Eukaryota; Metazoa; Chordata; Mammalia; Rodentia; Sciuridae
Source: RNAcentral
GUUGCAGGUCAUGGAGGAGCUGGUGGAUGAGGGGUUGGUGAAAACUCUUGGUGUUUCCAACUUCAACCACUUCCAGAUUGAAAAGAUCUUGAAUAAGCCUGGACUCAAAUAUAAACCAGUGACUAACCAGGUAAAUUCUAGUCAAUGAAAGGGUCCUGCCCUAUUACUUCUUAACAUUAGGAGGCAAAUCCAAUGCUAUAUACUGAGUCUAGUCUCAGGGAUCAGUGGUAAUGAUGCUUUCAGGGUGGUGGGAGACAGAUCUCAGGGUCUGGUUUAGUAAGUCUGUCAAUAUAUUGUGUGUACAACUUUCUGUGAACCAUUCAAAAUGCAAGCAAACUUUCCUAAUGAUGGAGAUUGUUCAUACUUGCAGGUGGAGUGUCACCCAUACCUCACCCAGGAGAAACUGAUCCAAUAUUGCCAUUCUAAGGGCAUCACUGUCACAGCCUACAGCCCCCUGGGCUCUCCAGAUAGACCUUGGUGAGGCUUCUGAGUGGUGGGUCUUUGUCUUAGUACUCUUAAAAAUAUUACUUUAUAACUGGUUGAGUUUGGUAUGAAUCUGUAAGUCACCAGAAAGAAAAAUGUGUCUAAGGCAAUGUGCUUAACCCCUCCAAAUGGGAUUAUGGUGGGAAAGAAUGGGAGUUUAAAAAGAAAGUGCAACACUUCUGACCCUCUGAGAAUACUCCAGUGCUAGACCAGCCUUGGUGAAAUGCUGAGGCUCCAGAGCCCAUGGAUGGACUAGCUCAUGGGAAAGACACAGAGCUUCUGGGUUUCUCCUGUUGGUGUCCCAAAUGGAGAAGGCUCUGAUGCCCAGCCUCGAGAUUGACAUUGGAGUGAUGUGCUUAUGCAUUUGGUAACCAUGGUGAUUAUUCAUAACAGCUAACUUUCUGCCUCUAGGGCUAAACCAGAAGACCCUUCACUAUUGGAGGACCCUAAGAUCAAGGAGAUUGCUGCAAGGCACAAAAAAUCCCCAGCCCAGGUACAAUGUGGGGUUUUUGCUCUUUAUCUUUAUCCAGCAAUCCAUUUAUUCUACCGUCUUCUGUUUUAUUCCUUUUAUUGUCUUCAUUCGACUCAUUAGAGGGGAGGAAAACAGGAAGUAAAGCACACUCAUGUGCCUUCUUGGAAGUCUUGUUAGGACCCCCAGGAAAUACAGUGGGUAUCAAUGAAACAAGGUUUAUUAGUCAGCUUUCUGUUGUUUAGAAAAUCAACAGAAAGGAGAAAAGAUUUAUUUUGGCUCAGGGUUUCAAUAUUUCAGUCUGUGGUCAUUUGGCCCCAUCACUUUGGGCCUUGGUGAGCCAUGUAUGGGCCAUGUGUGGUGGAGCAAAGGUGCUUACAUCAUAGCACUCAAGGAGGAAAGGUGCAGGAGGAAUGAGAGAGAGGGAGGGGGGAGUGAGAGAGAGGGAGAGAAAGAGAGAGGGAGACCCUUCAAACAAAGGCCAGUGACCUACCUCUUCCAACUAGGUUCACAGCUCUCUGAAGUUUCCACCACCUCCAAAUAGUGCCACACUUGGGGACCAAGCCUUCAAUGAGCCUUUGGGGGUAUUCCAGGUCCAAACUCUAACACAAGUGUGGCCUCUGUCUAUUGGCUUCCUACCAAGUUGUCUAGCUGAACCACAGAGAAUGGUUUUGGGUUCAUAUGCCAUCUGUACCACAUCUCAGCCUUAUGACCUCCAAGGACACCUUCAUUUCUAAACAAGGAAAACCAUAGGGUUUUCCCAUAACCUGCUAGUUAGGGAGGGAAGGGGAGAACUGGCCAGUGUCUCUAAUAGUUAAGCACUUGGCCCAACAUUCACUGUUGUAGCUAAAGCCUCAGUGAGCUACAGAGAUAUUUUAUUUUUCCUUUUUCUGGGAAAGGGGGGUCCUUGUGGACAAAUAGAAAUAUGAAGUCCUCUUUCUUCACAGGUUCUGAUCCGGUUCCAUAUCCAGAGGAAUGUGGUGGUGAUCCCCAAGUCUGUGACCCCAGAACGUAUUCUUGAGAACUUUCAGGUGAGAUCCUAUCUGAUCAUCUGGUAUUCCCCAGUGGAGGAGGUGGCAAGGGAGACUCUCUCUCCAGGUUUUUCAUCUCAUCCCUGUGUAUUAGUGGCUCCUGCCAUCUUCUCCACUCUUAGGUCAGGAAUCUGGCCUCAGAGCUGAGAGAAAUGAUCACAGGAUGUGCUAGGGCAGUGACAGGAGAAUCCCUGUCAGAUCUGAGCACACUGAGAAGGUUCCUAGUUGUCCUUGAGCAAUCAGGUCAUGGGCCACACAAGAGACCUCCUAGCAGCAGAUGAGAGAUGGACUGUACUUGAAGAGCUAUCCUUCUAGAAGAACCUAUGUGAACAGGAUGCUGUAUAAACUGAGGUUUAAUACCUACAAGUCUGGUAUCCCUCCUUUGGGCACACUACACCCUAUAAAUACUGCAGAGUCUGGUGGGGGGGAGGGGAGAAAUGGGGGGCAGGAAAAGAUAUUGGGGAUCUAAGCCAAGGACACUUUAUCACUGAGCUAUAUCACCAACCUCCCUCACUUUUUUAAGAGGGGGGUCUUGGUAAAUUGCCCAGGCUGACUUUAAACUUGGUUUCCUCCUGUCUCAGUCUCCCAAGUGGCUAGAAUUAUGGCACGUACCACCACAUCUAGCUAAAUACUACAGUCUUUGUGUGGGACCCAAUUUAGAGAAAAAUUUAUAUCCACUUGACAUACAAAGGACAUCUGGACUCCUGUGGCUAGUUUGUGCUACAGAUAUGAGCUUACUCCCUGCUAAAAUAACUGAAGAUCUCAAAUCCCAGGAAUUGUCUUGCCAAGGAUGUUUUGGAAUUCUUGCCUUUCCAGGUCUUUGACUUCAAAUUGAGUGAUGAGGAGAUGGCGACCUUACUCAGCUUCAACAGAAACUGGAGGAUCGGUGUCCUGGCUGAGUAAGUGUCAGCGGGUUAAUAAGGAGGAUCAUGGGGUUUUGUUUGUUGUUGCUUGUUUUGAAGAGGUAGAGGAUUAGCUGGAAAGAUUGGAAGGCAGCUGCAUCUAUAUUUGUCUUUUAGUACUAUUUUCUUGUUGUUCUUGAAUACUAUUGGAGUCCUGGGGAAUCAUUCUGGAAAGACAUAUUUCUAAUUGCUGCUCAUUGUCUGAACUUUUGAAUGUAGAGCUAGAAUUUCAAGAGAAGAGGUGUCAUUGCUCUGUAGGAGGCAGAAGUUUCCAUUCAUUCAUUCACUCAGCAGUUUACUGGUCAUCUACAAUGUGCCAGGCAUUUUCUAGGUGUUUGGGAGAUCACACUUUGUACAAAGUUCCUGCUGCCACAGUCUUAAAUUCUAGUUAGGGAGAACAAAAGUAACUCAAAAUAUAUAUGUCAGAUAGUAACAAAUUGUACAGGAAAAUAAAGAAGGGUAAAGGGGAUAGGAAGAGGUGGGUCCUGGGGAGGUUGGUACUUAAUAUUGAGUAGGUGAGGGAAGGUUUUGCUGAUAAGGUGACAGUUGAGCAGAAACCUGAAGAAAGUAAAAAAUAAGCCAUGUGGAUUUUGGGAAGAAGAGCAUUUUGGGCAGUGAAAGCAGCAAUUUCAAGGGCCUUGAGGUGAGAAUGUGUUUGGAGCAUUUGAAUAAAGAGGGCAGUGAGGCUGGAGUGGAAUGGAUGACAGGAAGAGUAGAAGGGAUGAGGCUGGAGAGAGGUGUCCAGGCUCAGAGCAUACACAGAGGGCGUAAACCAUGAGAGGGACUUUCAUUUUAGCUCUGAGCUGAGAAACCAUUGGAGGAUUUUGGACCGAGGGCUGGCAGGAUUUGACCUAACAUGUUUAUGAUGCCAUUAGACAUCCAAGAGGGAAUGUCAAAUACAGAGUUGGACUGGAGGAUUCAGGAGUAAACCUACCUGGCUUCUCAUCCCAGCCCCACCAUUUACUUACCAGCUGUGUGGUAACUUCAUCAAGUUGGCUUCUGUAUCUACAAAAUACGGAGGGAGGGUAGUAGUAAUUACAGCAGACAUCUAUGGAAUGUUGGCUCCGAAUGUACCGGGGAUCCUAAGUCCUUUACCUGUGUUGUUAAGUCAAGCAUCAAUUCCACUGUUAUUCCCAACUCUCAGUGUUGUGAGAAUGAAUUGACAACACUUGUAAGGUGCCAGGCGUGGUGGAAGCCAUUGAAUUAUGAUUUCAUUCUGGUGCCCUGGUCACUACUUACUUGCCUGCCUGUUUUUCUUAAAUACCUCUCCCACUGAUUUGAAGGAAGGUCAAGGUAUGAGCUUCCCUACUUAUGUCCUCACAGAGUCUUGGGGGAAGGUGGCUGAGGGAGCACCAGAGAAGAAUGGAUUGUUAGAGCACAGUUGCUGCUUUUGUGGAACACAUUCUCUCUGCUUGUUUCUGCAGCCAGGCUAAUUUGCCGGAUUACCCCUUUAAUGCCGAUUACUGAAGCUGAAUCUCCUGAUGAGACACCUGGUGGAUUCUUUCUCUUCAUGAAGUGGAAUUUGCUCUCCCUGAGGCCCAUUUUAACUAAAUUUAUAUGAAAUUAUAUUGUGCUUGAUCUUGUCAGAAUCUAGGCAAAAUUAAAAAAAAAGUUUAUUAGUGCAUUAUAAUUGUACAUAAUGGGAUUUUUUAAAUGCUCUAAUUGUCCAUGCACACAACAUUAGUUGCUCAAUCUCCUUCCCAGAACCUUCUUUCCUUCUCCUCCCUCCCCCUAAGCAAGGUUUGAUUUAGAUCCAUAUGUUGAACCAGGGAAAGACUUAUACAGGGAAGUAUGACUCAGAUGAGCAAAUGACUAUUUCUUCCACUUAUUUGAUCUGAACAAAUGUUUGUUAAACUACAGGGUCUCUGCUACCAUUGAGGAUGCAAAAAUAAAAAUAAUUAAAAAAUAAUGAAAGUAAUCAACGUGUACUGAAAGUUCACUGUGCACCCAUACACCUUGAAGUGCUUUUCCUCUCUGUGAGCUCACUGAAUUCAACUUUCAUCAUUCCAGUUUUUCAGAAGAUGAAAUGGAGGCUCAAGGCAACCCAGGUAGUAAGUGGCUGAACCAAGUUUCCUUUUUACCCCUAGCACUGGGGAUUGGACUCAGGGGGCACUCUACCAAAGAGCUACAUCUCCAGCCCUUUUUGUUUUGAAACUGAAUCUCACUAAGUUCCAAGGCUGACCUCAAACUUGCAUUCCUCCUGCUUCAGCCUCCUAAGUCCCUAGGAUUUCAGGCAUGUGCUGGUAGGCCUGGUUCCAUAGUAUUUUUCCUUAUGAAAUAUUCCAGUUAUAUAGAAUGUCCCGACGAUAACAUAGUGAGCAUCUGACAUACUUCAAAUUAAAAAAAAAUUUUUUUUGAGACUUUGGGGACCAAACCCAGGGCCUCAUGCAUGCUAAGCAAGUGCUAUACUACUGAAUCAAGCCUCCAGCUGAAAAAUGAAAAGAAAGCAUAAAGAAAUAAGUGGUUACUAGUAAAGUUGAGGACCACUUCUUCUUCUCAUUUCCUUGACUCCUCAGAAUUAAUGUCCAUCCUCAGAUUCCUGAGUCACCUCAUCCUCUGUUGGUUCUAUGCCUACUUACUUACAGAUCAGCUUCCUCGUCUUACCUUCUUCCAUUCUGCAGGAUGGUGGGGAGAGGAGGUCAACACCUGGAUUUCCAGACUUCCUAGUUAGAUGGUUUCCUCUGGGAUUGCUUAAAUAGGGUGUACUGUUAGGAGAUUAGAGGGCUGGGGGAAGGGAAAAGCCCAAUGUUUUCUCUUUGAGAGGUCUCUCCAUUAGAAGUCAGAUUUCCUCUAUUUUUCUUGUGGUCCCAGCUCUUGCCUGGCAGCCUCCACCAUGAUUCUAUCUCCUAACACAUGACACAGCUUCAGAGAUUAGGAAACACUGCUUUCUUCUAUGUCCUCUAUCCCUAGGGGCAGUGUCUUUUCUGCUAUUGCUAACUCAUCCUCUCUCUCAUCCCAGUUCUUCCCUCCCUUGUGCAGACAAUUUUAAUUAAUAUCCAAUGUUCAAAAAUCAGUGUUGGACUGGGGUGUAGGUCAGUGAUAGAGUGCUUGCCUAGCAUGUGUGAGGCCCUGGUUUCAUCCCUAGUACUAUUAAAAAAAAUUAAAAUUAGUGCAGUUCCUGUCCUGGCUGGACCCUUAACUGAUGCAUUUUUUCAUCCACAUUUUUACACAUUAUUAUUUACGCACACAACCCCACAAAUAAUUCAUGAGAUUAUUUGGAGGUAUAUAAAGAUGUAUGAACAUUAUAUAUAUGAAGCAAUUUAAAACCAGAGUCCAGUGAUAGUUCUAUUUGUUGUUGUUGUUGUUUUUGGUACUGGAGAUUGUACCCAGGAGCACUUUACCACUAAGCUACAUCCCCAGUUUGUUUAUCUGUUUUUCUUAGGAGACGGGAUCUCACUAAGUUGCUGAGGGUCUCAUUAAGUUGCUAAGGCUGGCCUUGAACUUAUGAUCCUCUUGCCUCGGUCUCUUGAGUUGCUGGGAUUACAGGUGUGUGCCAUUGCGCCCAGCUUUAUGCACAUUUUAAAAAUUAGAACUUGAUUUUUGAAUUUAUUAUCCAAGUAGCUAACAUAGUAUUUCUUGAUAUUAUCUGAAACAUAAUUAGGCCCCACUUUUCUCAGUAGUCUAUUUGUUUCUGUAUUCCUUUUGGCUCCCUGGAUUCAAGUGUUGUAUUCAAUGUGAAGUGUGUUUAGUUGUGUCUACAGUGUUGGCAGCUUCCCCAUCACCAUGACCUUACAUCUGCGCUCCUUGUACUUUGGCAUGGAAUUCGUGCUCCAUGCAGUUUAGUCACACAAUUGACAUUUGUUGCCCCAAUGAAAGAACCCAAAUUGCCUGAUAAGCCUGGAGGAGUGUACCAGGACUUUAUCCAUUUGACACAGACAUUUUACUUUUUAUAGCCAAGCCCAGUGGGCCAUGCAGCCUUCACGGGAUCCCUAGCCAUUCUCUAUCCCAUCAUAAGCAGAAAUCUAAUAACCUCAAUAGCCCUCAUCCCUCCUUCCCUUGAGUGUACACAGAAUCUGAAUAUGAUAAGAUUGUACUCACACAAUUAUGUAAAAUUAUAAAAAAGUGGCAGUUUGCAUUUGUAAUAAAUGUCCUAAUCAGUUAACUUUAAACUAUGGAGAUCACUGCUGGGUCUGGCUUAAUUGUGUUACUUUGUUCAUGAGAUAACCCUUACUUGUGUUACUUAUGUUUAUGAGUUAACCAUUUAAACUGAUAGUUAAAUGGUUUGCAGAAGAAAGGGAAAUAUAGGGCAGAAUAUAUUUCCUUUUCCUUUUGGUACAUCUCUACUCAUUAGUGAACCCAAAGUAGUGCAUGUUUACUGGGAAUAAUGGUGCAUGCCUAUAACUGCAGUGACUUUGAAGUCUGAGGCAGGAGGAUAGAAAAUUUGAGGCCAGCCUGGGCAAGUCAGGGUGACCCUGUCUCAAAUUUUUAAAAAGGCUAGGGGAUAGCUCAGUGGUAGGGGCUCCCUACCAAAAGAAAAAAACAGAUUCAUGUAACUUUAGAUUUAUGUGUACAUUCUCCAUUAAAGAGAAACUAAGUUUACUUGGAGAAAUAGCUAUUACAGAAGCAAAUCAGGAAAAGAUGACCUUGAGUAAGCUUUUUCCACCAGAAAGUGAGGGAGUGCUCAAUAAAUGAUGCAGUCCUGCCUUAAGGACACAGAAGCCAGCUCAAUUAGUGAAUUAGAGCAUAAAAAUUAAUGACAUUGGUGGAUAAUAGCCCACUGACUGAAACAGGAAUUCAUGAGACCACAUUAAAAUGAAUAAAUACAUAAGGAAAACAGAAAACUUUUUGCUCAAGUAUACAAUCAAUUAAUAAAUCUAGAAAAAUUAAUGGAAUUAGAAAUUCAUCAUUUUGGCAAUCACAAUUUAUUCAAGAAAGAUUAAUGGAUGUUUAAAUUAGUAAAUAUUAUAUGAGCAAGAGAGUAUUUGCUUAAUCCAAAGUACGUCUUUACUAAGUGCCUAUUAGCUACUAAAAGGAAGAGUUACCCAACAAUGGGUAAACUUGAUAGAAAGUUAAGUUAAACCACUGUAUUAGUUUUCUAUUGCUGCAUAACAAGUUACCACAAACUCAGCAGCUUGAUACAUUCAUGAUCUCAUUGUGUUAAGCAGGGGCCCAGUGAGAUUUUUCUUGGUUCCCUUUUUUCCUUUUGUCCUUCCCUAAUCCUUUAGCAGAAGUUCCACUUAGAAAUUAAUACUAAUUCUUUAAUCCCUUAGAUUAUUCACAAAUCCCAGUUGGCAUUUAUAAGACACUGCCUUGGUAAAUAGCACCAAAUCCAUUGUGAUGUGUUGGAGAAGACACCCUCACGGAGACUGGUCCCAGCCUGCAGCCUCACUCUCCCCUUAAUCCCCACAAAAACCCUGAGUCCAGAGCCUGGGAAGUUAGAGCUUGAGGAGCCUGCCCCUCUAUCACCUUCAGGGCUGGCCUUAAAUAAACUAAUUCCUUCCCACUAUUUUCCUGAUUCUUUCCAAAUACCUAUCUUCCUGAGUACUGAACAUUUGAUUCCAGUAAAAACAGUUCUCUAACAGGGCACAGUGGUGCUUGUCUGUAGUCUUAUCGAUUUGGGAGGCUGAGACAAGAGGAUUGCAAGUUCCAGGCUAGCCCUAGCAACUUAGCGAGGCCCUAAAUAACUUAAUAAGAUCUGUCUCAAAAAAAUAAAAUAUAGCCAGGCAUGGUGGUACAUGCCUAUAAUCCUAGCAGCUCUGGAGGCUGAGGCAGGAGGAUCGAAAAUUCAAAGCCAGCAUCAGCAAAAGUGAGGCACUAAGCAGCAACUCAGUGAGACCCUGUCUCUAAAUAAAAUACAAAAUAGGGCUGGGGAUGUGGCUUAGUGGCUGAGUGCCCCUGAGUUCAAUCCCUGGUAACUGCCCGCCCCCCCCCCCCGCCAAAAAAAAAAAAAUAAAGUACAGAAAACAAAAAACAAAAGGCUGGAAAACAAACAAACAAAAACAGUUUUCAGAGUCAGUAGUCCAGGUGGGUUUAACUAUAUUCUCUACUCAGGGUCUCACAAGGCUGAAAUCAAGGUGCUAGUUGGGCUGGAUUCUUAUCUGGAAGCUGAGGGGAAGAAUCCAUCUUCCAAACUCUUCGGGUUAACAGAAUUCAGUUCCCUGUGGCCUUAGGGCCCAGGGCCCAUUUCUUUGCUAGCUGUCAGCUGGUGGAUAUGCUCCAACUCUGGAAGCAAUUCUUGACUUAGGUCUUCAUCUCAACAAGUCUGAGAACCCUGGCACACUGUAUUUACGCAUUUAUUUAUUUAGGUACCAGGGAUUGAGCCUGGGGGGCUUAACCACUUGAGCCACAUCCUCCAGCCCUUCUUAACUUUUUUUUUUUUUUUUAAUUUUGAGACAGGGUCUCACUAAGUUGCUCAGGGUCUAGCUAAGUGUAUGAAACUGACUUGAAUUUGCAAUCCUCCUUCCUCAGCUGCCCAAGUCCCUGGGAUUACAGGCAUGUUGUCACUGCCACAUUUAACACUCUGGCUAUUCUUCUACUGUUGACCAGGGAAAGCUCUCUGCUUUUUUUUUUUUUUUUUUUUUGUGGUGCUGGGGAUUGAACCUAGGCCCUUGCACAUGCUAGGCAAAUGCUCUACCUCUGAGCUACACUCAGCUGUCUGCUUUUAAAUGACUGAUUUAUUUAGAGUUGUCCCACCUGGAUAAUUACCCUUUCAAUAUAAAACAAUAUAAUCAUGAAAGUAACACAUACUAGCCAAGGUCAUAGGGCCAUCUUAACAUUCUGUCUACCAUACCACCUUAAUUGAGCAAUCAAUUAAUAUUAAUGAAGGGAAAGCAUGGGAGAGACGGGUAAGUGAGACAGGAAAGACGGAGACCAGGCAGUGAUACACAUGAGCGUUUACUUGUCAGAGCUGACAAAUAAAGGCCAUCUCUCAAUAGGAGAGAGAGGCAAAUCAGGCUUGAGUUCCGGGACUUUUAUGGGGGAGGCUCAGGAAUCAGAGCUGGGCAGGUCCUAAUGCAGGUGGUUAAGGGUUGUGUUAGUCUGAGGGAGUGGUGAGCCUUUCUCAGAUAGGCCUUUGGGUGGGAAGUGAAACUUUAUCCUUAAAAUGUUGAUUGUCACUUAAGAUCGCUGUCCAGAUGUUAAGCAAGGACCUUAUAAUCCCAGCGGCUUGGGAAGCUGAGGCCAGAGGAUUCUGAGUUCAGCAAAAGCCUAUCUCUAAAUAAAAUAUAAAAAAGGGCUGGCAGUGUAGUUCAGUGGUUAAGUGCCCCAGGUUCGAUUCCCAGUACCAAACAACAACAACAAAAGUCACCAAAUAUUUAAAAACUCUUCCUUUAUGCUAUCAGUUUCUAAAAGUGGGGAAAAUGUUAUUUGAAAGAUGUAACUGAACUUGAAUUGAUUCUCAGACAAUUCAUAAAUCAAAAUGGCAAAGCAGAAAUCAGAGGACUGAGAAACAGAGUAUUGGUUUCUCUCAUGCUUUAAGAAGAUAGUUAAUGGGCUAGGGUUGUGGCUCAGUUGGUAGAGCGCUUGCAUGGAGCACUGGGUUCAAUCCUCAGCACCACAUAAAUAAAUAAAAUAAAUAAAAUUGUGUCCGUCUACAACUAAAAAUUAAAAGGAGAAGGAGAAGGAGAAGAAGACAGCUAAUGUUUUCAAAAGUAUACAGAGGGAAACUUGGUGCCUGUGGCACACACCUGUAAUCCCAGGGAUUCAGGAAGCUGAGGCAGGAGGAUCACAAGUUCAAGUUAGGGAGAUCCUAUCUUAAAAUAAAAAAAUAAAAAGUCCUGGGGAUAUAGCUCAGUGUUAAAGCACCCCUGCAUCAAUCCCCAGUACAAAUAAAAAAGAAAGAAAGAAAGAAAGAAAGACAAUGACCUUCCUUUAUAUAGCAAUUACUUGUUUAUUUUUUAUUGUGUAGGUUAACAUUAUAAACUUUAAUCUCUAUAUAUUAUUUGAGACAUUUGUGAGGUUCCACUUUGUUUUCUUUCUGUACUGGGGAUUGAACCUAGAAGUGCUCUACUACUGAGCUACAACUUGCCCCACAUGUAAAAAAUAUUCUUAUUUUGAGUUUGAGUCUUGCUAAAUUGCUCAGACUGGUCUUGAACUUACUGUCUUCCUGCCUCAGCCUUCCCAGAUGCUGGGAUUAUAGGCGAGCACCACCAGGCCCAGCUUGGUUCCACUUUUGGACUAAACUCUAUUGACUUUUGCAUAGUUAGUUCUCUGCACUUUGCACUACCACUUCCAGAUAAAAUCUUAAUCAAGUGUGUGCUUGUCUGCUGAGUUCCUACACCAUGACUUUGCAUUCUGUCUUUGGACUUUCACUUCCUGAAUGUACAAGACACAUUUUUAUCACUCUCUUUCAUAUCAAGGAAAGCGUUGGGGAAUCUUAGAGGGAAGGUGGCUUAUGUGGACUGUGGGUGUUAGCUCAAUGAUACAGUGCUUGCCCAGUACAUGCAGGGCUCUAGGUUCAAUCCCUGGUACUGCCAAAAACAAAAAAGCUGCACAUUCACAGCUGUAAGCUCUACCAUCCCUGAUAGCCCUGACAAGCAAUGGGUUUAUUUGGUCUCACUGGAGGCCUGCUCUGCUUCUGUGCACAAGGUGAGCUGGGGCUGGCAGCCAAGGUAAUGGCAGUAAUGUAGAACUAAGAGGCUAAAAUAGAUUGAGGGCUUUAGGCUGCACUAGAAAGGAUAUGGCUAAUUUAGAAGCUUCAGACUCCAGUGCUGGACAGACUGGAGUCACAGACUGUCAAUGGUGGUGGGGCUUAGGAGUAUUGAGUUUCUCUAUACCUUAAAUGUCACGGUCUGGCUAAUGUUCAGACACCUUUAGUGAGCAGAAAUUCAGUUUCCAACUCUGGAAAAUCUUGCAUUUAUAUGCCCUGCUGCAUUCUCCACCUAUAAAUCCCAAUUCUGUGUGUGGAGGCAGCACAACACAGGUUUUAUCCUAUUCCUCCUGAAAGCCCACCAUAUAGUUAAUAUUAUCUGUUCUAUGUCAUUUUAUUCUCAAUUGUAUUAUUUAUUUAUUUAGGUAGUUAGUUCUAACCAGGUAUACAUGAUAGCAGAAUGCAUUUUGAUUCAUUCUACACAAUGGAGCACAACUUUUCAUUUCUCUGGUUGUACAUGAUGUACUUAAUUGUAUUUGGAUAAAUAUCUUCAGUUUAUGGAUACAAUUUAAUUCAACUGAUUAAAUUCAGGUUUAUUGGUUUAAUUUAUUAAUAAACUUAACUAACUUAUUAAUAUUAAAUUGAUAAAUCAAUUCAGUAAAUUAAAUCCAAUCUAUACAAUUUAAAGAGGAUGUGUCUUUAAGUUAGUACUGCUAGGCUUUAGAGACAGAAGGCUCAAUUUGAAUCUUACAGCAUGCCAGCACAUUGGUGGGGUUGUUUUAAGACCACAGGUCAUUGUACAGUAUUAUAAAUUUUUAAAAAAUUCUUUUUCUUUUUCUUUCUCUCUCUUCCCCUCUCUCUCUCUCUCUCUCUCUCUCUCUCUCUCUUUCUUUCUUUUUUUUUGUAACAGGGAUUGAAUCCAGAGAGGCUUAACCACUGAGCCACAUCCCCAGAACUUUUUAUUUUUUAUUUGAGACAAAGUCUUGCUAAGUUGCUUAGGGCCUUGCUAAGUUGUUGGAACUGCCUUUGAACUUGUGAUCCUCCUGCCUUAGCUUCCCAAGUUGCUGCAAUUACAGGUGUAUGCCACUGUGCC